Molecule: long non-coding RNA, 351 nt
Filed under: Equus caballus (horse)
Lineage: Eukaryota; Metazoa; Chordata; Mammalia; Perissodactyla; Equidae
Description: lncRNA (ENSECAG00000045582.1)
Source: RNAcentral
AUGGCCGCAAAUAGGUCCUAAGGAACAGAGAAAUAUAGUUGUGACCAGAGAUUUCAGAGUCUCCUCACCUAUUGCCUGCAGGCAGCUGCUUGGUCAAGGGAACAUCCUGUACACGCCUCCUGAGAGCAAGACACAACAUACAGGGUGGUACCGGUUCAAUCAAGAUGAUGUGCCUGCUGCCCACAGGGUGUGUUUGCUCACCCAACAGGCACGAUGGAUACAGAACGUCUUUGAAAUCCAUAAAACACCACAUAGAAUAUGAUUACUUUCAAAAUAAUCAGGGUUAGCAUCACCUGGCAAAAAAGGAUCUGACUAGACGGAGAUUGCGGGAGAAGAGCGUCCAGACGGAGC